GACGAACGCUGGCGGCGUGCUUAACACAUGCAAGUCGAACGGUGAACGAGGGAGCUUGCUCCCUCCGGAUCAGUGGCGAACGGGUGAGUAACACGUGAGCAAUCUGCCCCGAACUCUGGGAUAAGCGUUGGAAACGACGUCUAAUACCGGAUACGACGCGGGAGGGCAUCCUCUCCGCGUGGAAAGAACUUCGGUUCGGGAUGAGCUCGCGGCCUAUCAGCUUGUUGGUGAGGUAACGGCUCACCAAGGCGACGACGGGUAGCCGGCCUGAGAGGGUGACCGGCCACACUGGGACUGAGACACGGCCCAGACUCCUACGGGAGGCAGCAGUGGAGAAUAUUGCACAAUGGGCGCAAGCCUGAUGCAGCAACGCCGCGUGAGGGACGACGGCCUUCGGGUUGUAAACCUCUUUUAGCAGGGAAGAAGCGAAAGUGACGGUACCUGCAGAAAAAGCACCGGCUAACUACGU
This 469-nucleotide ribosomal RNA is filed under the name uncultured bacterium. RNAcentral describes it as "partial 16S ribosomal RNA". It matches the Rfam family "Bacterial small subunit ribosomal RNA", at positions 28 to 506 of the family's 1533-position model. The record is from RNAcentral.